GCAUCGAUGAAGAACGCAGCCAGCUGCGAUACGUAGUGUGAAUUGCAGAAUUCAGUGAAUCAUCGAAUCUUUGAACGCAAAUGGCGCUCUUGGCUAUACCGGGAGCAUGUCUGUCUGAGUGUUGGUUA
Molecule: ribosomal RNA, 128 nt
Filed under: Eunicella singularis
Lineage: Eukaryota; Metazoa; Cnidaria; Anthozoa; Malacalcyonacea; Eunicellidae
Description: partial 5.8S ribosomal RNA
Rfam family: 5.8S ribosomal RNA
About the family: 5.8S ribosomal RNA (5.8S rRNA) is a component of the large subunit of the eukaryotic ribosome. It is transcribed by RNA polymerase I as part of the 45S precursor that also contains 18S and 28S rRNA.
Source: RNAcentral